AUUGAACGCUGGCGGCAUGCUUUACACAUGCAAGUCGAACGGCAGCGCGGGCUUCGGCCUGGCGGCGAGUGGCGAACGGGCGAGUAAUGCAUCGGAACGUGCCCAGUAGUGGGGGAUAGCCCGGCGAAAGCCGGAUUAAUACCGCAUACGACCUGAGGGUGAAAGCGGGGGACCGAAAGGCCUCGCGCUAUUGGAGCGGCCGAUGUCGGAUUAGCUAGUUGGUGGGGUAAAGGCUUACCAAGGCGACGAUCCGUAGCUGGUCUGAGAGGACGACCAGCCACACUGGGACUGAGACACGGCCCAGACUUCUACGGGAGGCAGCAGUGGGGAAUUUUGGACAAUGGGGGCAACCCUGAUCCAGCCAUGCCGCGUGCGGGAAGAAGGCCUUCGGGUUGUAAACCGCUUUUGUUCGGGAAGAAAUCCUCUGGGCUAAUACCCCGGGGGGAUGACGGUACCGGAAGAAUAAGCACCGGCUAACUACGUG
Molecule: ribosomal RNA, 484 nt
Filed under: uncultured bacterium
Lineage: Bacteria
Description: partial 16S ribosomal RNA
Rfam family: Bacterial small subunit ribosomal RNA
Source: RNAcentral